UACAGCGGGGGCAAGCGUUGUUCGGAAUUACUGGGCGUAAAGGGCGCGUAGGCGGCCUGUUAAGUCGAACGUGAAAUCCCCGGGCUCAACCCGGGAACUGCGUCCGAUACUGGCAGGCUUGAAUUCGGGAGAGGGAUGCGGAAUUCCAGGUGUAGCGGUGAAAUGCGUAGAUAUCUGGAGGAACACCGGUGGCGAAGGCGGCAUCCUGGACCGAGAGUGACGCUGAGGCGCGAAAGCCAGGGGAGCAAACGGG
This 253-nucleotide ribosomal RNA is filed under the name uncultured bacterium. RNAcentral describes it as "partial 16S ribosomal RNA". It matches the Rfam family "Bacterial small subunit ribosomal RNA", at positions 524 to 776 of the family's 1533-position model. The record is from RNAcentral.